GGUUAGGAAACUGCAACAAGGGAGAUCUAAAGAAGCCACUUGCUAAUUUUCCAACAAACCAUUGCAGACAGGCUGUUCAGAAGACAGCCAAGAAGUUUCAGUGAGAAGCCUGAAGCUGGAGCCUGAGAGCCAGUGGUGCCAAGGAAGAGGGGAAUGAUGGGUGUGGAUACAUGCUGCUGUCCUUCUGAAAAUGCUGAAAGAAGGAUUAAAAAGGAGGAAGAAGCCUCCUAAGGAGGGAAAAUUAAGAAUUGCAAAAUACCAAGUUGCCUGCAAAUCAAGACUUGAAAAGUGAGGUAUUCCAUGAAUCAUGCAGUGGGCUGUGGUAUGGAUUACUUGACUGAAGAGGAUUUUGACUUACAACAUGUGAAAGCCUUUCUUAAGAAUUAAGAUUAGAGAGACCAACAACACGUGGCACUUCGGAGUUCUUGCUGUUAGGUGCUCAGCACAGACACCUAACUGAAAAUGUUCAGUUCUGUUAAAAGAGGUCUUUCAGGGUGGGAGAACUCCUGUCAUUUUUGUUUGAGUGAAAUGCAGUUCUGACCACCAGUGCUCUUUGUUUUGAAGGCUCACCAAAAAC
Pogoniulus pusillus (Red-fronted tinkerbird) is the source of this 577-nucleotide long non-coding RNA. RefSeq lists it as uncharacterized. The transcript is spliced from 5 exons. Lineage: Eukaryota; Metazoa; Chordata; Aves; Piciformes; Lybiidae. The record is from RefSeq and is a predicted model, not a curated record.